GUGCUCGCUUCGGCAGCACGUAUACUAAAAUUGGAACAAUACAGAAAAGAUUAGCAUGGCCCCUGAGCAAGGAUGACAUGCAAAUCUUUUGUCCCAACUUGUU
Small nuclear RNA from Cavia aperea (Brazilian guinea pig), 103 nucleotides. The record is from Ensembl. NCBI's taxonomy places the organism in Eukaryota, Metazoa, Chordata, Mammalia, Rodentia, Caviidae.